AGGGCUUUAGUUUAAUUAAAAUGUUUGAGUUGCAUUCAGAAGAUGCAGAUUAAUAUCUGCAAGUCCUA
This 68-nucleotide transfer RNA is filed under the name Amblypharyngodon chulabhornae. Its description in RNAcentral is "tRNA-Ala". It matches the Rfam family "tRNA". From Rfam's summary of the family: Transfer RNA (tRNA) molecules are approximately 80 nucleotides in length. Their secondary structure includes four short double-helical elements and three loops (D, anti-codon, and T loops). Further hydrogen bonds mediate the characteristic L-shaped molecular structure. tRNAs have two regions of fundamental functional importance: the anti-codon, which is responsible for specific mRNA codon recognition, and the 3' end, to which the tRNAs corresponding amino acid is attached (by aminoacyl-tRNA synthetases). tRNAs cope with the degeneracy of the genetic code in two manners: having more than one tRNA (with a specific anti-codon) for a particular amino acid; and 'wobble' base-pairing, i.e. permitting non-standard base-pairing at the 3rd anti-codon position. Lineage: Eukaryota; Metazoa; Chordata; Actinopteri; Cypriniformes; Danionidae. The record is from RNAcentral.